CAUCCCUCCGCAGCCUGCUGAUUUUGCAAAAGAGGGGGCAAAGGAUCAUUUUGCAGUCCAGAUGCUGCCAAACACAAGCAAUCAGUGGAAGGAAUGGCACAAUGAGCAGGCAAGCAUGGGGAAGCAGCUUACGAAGAAAUAGUUAAAUGCCGAGCUUUGUCCCGGCUGAUGCCGCGAUGACAAUUCCUACAUAAAUCACCACUUCUGACCAGCUGCCAUGAUGGUUUUUUGUAACAGCAGUGCCAGCCCCAGCCUGCCGUUAUCCUCUGGCAGCACCUUGCAUUUCUCCUACUCUCCAGGCCACAGACACACUGCUAAAUACGAGAACUCCUGAACUGAUGUUAAGAAGUAUCUUCUAGCAGGUGUGAUGGAGAAGACAUGUCAGAUUUUGGGCUUCACUAAUACUCUUCCAACUGUGCCUGCUUCCAAAAAAAAAAAGGAAGACAAAGCAGAAACAGCAGCUUCCAGAAUUCCACGCCUUUUCUAGAAGAUAAAUAGAAAUCAAUUGCACGAGAAUAUAGCCUGAAUUCCGGCUAUAUUAAAGAAACUGAACAAGACCUCCUUGCUUUCUGAGAUCUGUUGUUGAUUAUAAGAGAAUGAACUUCUGUGAACAAUUAAGCAAGUGGCUUUAAAAGAAAACUGGAGAAGUAGCAAAUGGUGAUGCACAGAGACAUCUUAGGCAGAAAAGGGAUGGAGUGAAUACUGAAUUGACUUUCAUAUGCUUGGGCUUUCUGGUGUCCACUGAAGAGAUGAUAAGCAAAAAGGAUUAAAAAAUAACUUUCUAAUUUAUAAAUCCAAUAUCUGCUUCAUGUUCCUAUCAAGAAGAUAUCAAAGAAAAAGAGACAAUGGAGGUCAAGGAUAAGAACAGGUAAAAAAACACCAACCAAGCAAAAAAAAUCUCCUGAAAAAAUUUACUGUUAGGCUGGCAUGUUCUUGCUCAAACAUCCAUGGUCAGUAAUUUAAAGAAGUCUGAAAGUUGGCUAGUGUUUGUACGGAAUUGCUAUUUUUAAAGGUGAAAUUAAUUUCUUAAAUUACAAAAUAUUAUAUAGGUGCCAGGUUCUGCUGCAUUUACUUAUGAAUUGUCUCCAUGAAAUUUAUGAGAAUUGCAUGAAAAAAUUCCUGAGAUUAAAGGGUUCAUAGUCUAACUUUCACUUUACAGUCUCCAUUCACUAUAGCACUUUUUGUAAACUAGUGAAAGUUUCCUUCCUGUGCUUGCCUAACUCUGAAUUCAACAUAUUGUUUCACUGCAAUGAAUGUAUAAUCUUGCUAACAGCUAAAAUGCAAAGUAAGUUAUUUGGUGUCUAAACAAAGUUAAUGAGAUAAGUGUUUACUUGUUGUAAGUUACAAAACAUAAAGUUUUAAUUAGAAAUGUUCUUAUUUGCUGCCAGUGGGCCUGCAGGAAGAAGACAGCCUUGCAAUUUGCAGAAUCCCCCUUGAUGUGCAGUUCUUUAAUGUACAGCCUCCACUUUUUCCUGUGUGUUAAGAAUGUGGGCUUUGCAUUGUGUUAGACUAUGAUUGUUAGCAACAGUUGACUACUCUUUCAGGUCUGUUCCACUGGCUCCCUGGGUAAUUCCGUGAAAAUUCAUGGAAGUUCUAUAUUUCCAUUGCCAGGUGACUGUGGGAUAGAAAUCCUGGGGGUUCGAAUCUCUCUCUUUUUUUGUAGGUUAGUUAACUAGUCCCUUCUAAUGUAAAUCUUAUACAUCUGGACACCUCUGAGGAUUUUUCACUUCUCUGUGUUUACCCAGAAGAGGAUGACCUGUGUGCUUUCUUCCCCUUUUCCUCCCUUCCUCUUACUAGCUUUACAUGUGAUCAUGUUUCUUCUUUUGUGCCACCUGUCCUUCUGUUUUCUGAAGCAUAAAUUGUAGCUUGUAUUUCUCUAUGGAAUUGUGUUAUGAGUGAGACAGAACUGAUACAGAGCUGGAAAAGAGCUGGGAUUAUCUGGAAGGAUAUUGCUGGAUAUCAUCCACUAUCUGAUGAAGAGACAAUUGCAGAAGUGCUUGAAGUUGUGGUUUUUCACAAUUAUUAAAACUAUUUGUCUUGUAUUUCCCUCUAUUUUAUAUUCUAGUUUUCUCAAAAUACAAAGGACUCUGUUGACUGGUGUCUAGAAAAUGGUAUGAAACUUUGCAGCAUGAUUAGAUGUAGUAUUCAGCAUUACUGAAUCUACAGGAAUCAGUGAAUACCACUCAAAAUGUUUAAUGCAUGUGUAAUCUGGACUAUUUUAGUUAGAGUUGAUUUUCCUCAGUGGAAAGAUAGUAGCUUCAUUAUCUCUGAGAUUAAAAUAGGAAAAUAUCUUAAGGUAGUAUGGGAAAACCCCAGCUUUGAUAACCUGGUGAAUCUGUCUCCUAAACAGAGGAAAAAAACCUAGGCCUGCAUUAAUGAAUGUGUUUAGGAGCCUAUAUGAGGUCCUGAAACCAAUUUACAAAUUUAGGCUCUGCUCUUUUGAUGUUUCAAGGUUAAAGCGGAUGUUCUGAAUCCGGCUGCUUUAUUGGCACCAAAGGCCUAAAGAAAAUACCACCAGAAAUUUAACAUAUUGCUCAUUAAAAAAUGUAUGCCAACAGCAGCUCUUGCAACACUGUCGUCCCUCCUAUUGCAAUCCCUAAAGAGCAAUUGAGGAGUUUAUUUUUAUCAUUUGGUUUAAUCUUUUACAUAAUUUGAAAUGUCAAAUAUUUUGUAGUGGUAUUUUGUUAUUUGUACCAUCUGGAAUCAAAACCUCUGUGAUUCUCAGCAAUUCAAAUUUGUGGAGUAACGGUUACUGUUCUAUAGUUGACUUGUCUCCUCAAGGACUUAGCUUAAAGUAGUAUUUUCUUAAAGGUGGAUCAAAGAAGAAAUUUUACUUCAGCAUUUGAGAUUUUGAAACUUGUAAUUUAUUUCUGCCUUCUUGCUUUGCUCCUUAUUUGCAAAGAAUAAAGUGAAACAACUUUUA
Molecule: long non-coding RNA, 2923 nt
Organism: Vidua chalybeata
Lineage: Eukaryota; Metazoa; Chordata; Aves; Passeriformes; Viduidae
Exons: 3
Source: RefSeq, a predicted model, not a curated record